This 65-nucleotide transfer RNA is filed under the name Upogebia bowerbankii. RNAcentral describes it as "tRNA-Ala". Lineage: Eukaryota; Metazoa; Arthropoda; Malacostraca; Decapoda; Upogebiidae. The record is from RNAcentral.
AAAGUUAUAGUCUAACUACGAUUUAUGAUUUGCACUCAUAAGAUGUUCAUAUUGAACUAACUUUA